This 260-nucleotide ribosomal RNA is filed under the name uncultured bacterium. Its description in RNAcentral is "partial 16S ribosomal RNA". It matches the Rfam family "Bacterial small subunit ribosomal RNA", at positions 1240 to 1500 of the family's 1533-position model. The record is from RNAcentral.
CAGAGAGAAGCAAUACCGCGAGGUGGAGCAAAACUUCAAAAAUGGUCUCAGUUCGGACUGUAGGCUGCAACUCGCCUACACGAAGUUGGAAUUGCUAGUAAUCGUGGAUCAGCAUGCCACGGUGAAUACGUUCCCGGGUCUUGUACACACCGCCCGUCACACCAUGGGAGCUGGUAACACCCGAAGUCAGUAGUCUAACCGCAAGGAGGACGCUGCCGAAGGUGGGAUUAGCGACUGGGGUGAAGUCGUAACAAGGUAAC